Molecule: long non-coding RNA, 943 nt
Filed under: Brassica rapa (field mustard)
Lineage: Eukaryota; Viridiplantae; Streptophyta; Magnoliopsida; Brassicales; Brassicaceae
Description: long non-coding RNA (BRAP_LNC006172)
Source: RNAcentral
UUCACUGCGUUAUUGGAAGAAAACGUUCCGCACAAUAAAUUUUCUUAUGAUUGGUAACGUUUGCGUAAUUCCACUCGAAACAGUGUAAUUACGUCUCGCACCGCGGUUGUCAAUCACAAAAUAUAUAUCUUAUAUAUUAGUGGAAUCUUUCUACUAGUUUAGUAUUUACUCCAUAAAUAUGUCGAUUUUCGUUCAAAUUUAUAGAAACUGCAUACUCAAUUUCUUAAUUAAUAUUUUUUUAUUGUAAAAAUGUUGGAUUGAAACCUUUAAUUCGUUUGGGUCAUGAAUAAUAGUCAGUUGUUUAAUCUCUUUUCCGUAGCUGUUAAAAUUUGAACAUGACAUAUUAAAGGAUACAGACUUUAUCACUAUAGAUAGCAAUUCCGUAUGAUUAAUUAUGAUUUUAAAAAACUUUUUUAUAUUUUUUAAUAAUAAUUUCGCCAUUCAUCGUGAAAUUGUUCAUGAUAUUGUAUAUACUAUAGUUAAUUUAUCAUCAUUCAUAAUAGAAGCUAUAUAACGAUGUAUCAAGUAGACGUCAAAAAAAAAAAAAAAACGAUGUAUCAAGUGUUAACAAAAAAAAACUUAUUAGUAUUACUAUCGUCUGUAUUUACCACAACACGAAUUCAGAUAAAUCUAACAAUUAAUCUUAUAAUAUGCUACAUAAGUUAAACACCAUCACCCACUUUCAUUGGUUAAUCUUCAGCACAUGGUCCCUCGUUUAGCUAAUAGUUCCCAUCUUUUAAUGUCGAUGAUACACAUGCCCAAAAUAUAAACAUGUAUAUUAGUCGAAGAAAACUCUUGAUAUGCCACCAUAUCGUGUGAUGUACCUUAACCUGGCUCUGAUACCAUGAUAAGUUUCUUGGGCUUCCAACUUAAAACCAAUUGGCAAUUAGUGGAUUGACCCAAGUCCCUUAUAUAUUACUCAAGUCCCUUUCAUAUAUUCGAU